UGGGGAAUAUUGCACAAUGGGCGCAAGCCUGAUGCAGCCAUGCCGCGUGUAUGAAGAAGGCCUUCGGGUUGUAAAGUACUUUCAGCGGGGAAGAAGGGAGUAAAGUUAAUACCUUUGCUCAUUGACGUUACCCGCAGAAGAAGCACCGGCUAACUCCGUGCCAGCAGCCGCGGUAAUACGGAGGGUGCAAGCGUUAAUCGGAAUUACUGGGCGUAAAGCGCACGCAGGCGGUUUGUUAAGUCAGAUGUGAAAUCCCCGGGCUCAACCUGGGAACUGCAUCUGAUACUGGCAAGCUUGAGUCUCGUAGAGGGGGGUAGAAUUCCAGGUGUAGCGGUGAAAUGCGUAGAGAUCUGGAGGAAUACCGGUGGCGAAGGCGGCCCCCUGGACGAAGACUGACGCUCAGGUGCGAAAGCGUGGGGAGCAAACAGG
RNAcentral lists this ribosomal RNA (429 nucleotides) under Chloroflexota bacterium. Its description in RNAcentral is "Chloroflexi bacterium partial 16S ribosomal RNA". It matches the Rfam family "Bacterial small subunit ribosomal RNA", at positions 355 to 776 of the family's 1533-position model. Lineage: Bacteria; Bacillati; Chloroflexota. The record is from RNAcentral.